RNAcentral lists this ribosomal RNA (513 nucleotides) under uncultured Acidobacteriaceae bacterium. RNAcentral's name for it is "bacterial SSU rRNA". It matches the Rfam family "Bacterial small subunit ribosomal RNA", at positions 28 to 573 of the family's 1533-position model. The record is from RNAcentral. Lineage: Bacteria; Pseudomonadati; Acidobacteriota; Terriglobia; Terriglobales; Acidobacteriaceae.
AAUCAACGCUGGCGGCGUGCCUAACACAUGCAAGUCGCACGAGAAAUGGACUUCGGUCCUGAGUACAGUGGCGCACGGGUGAGUAACACGUGAAUCAUCUACCUUCGAGUGGGGAAUAACUGAGAGAAAUCUUAGCUAAUACCGCAUAAUACCUACGGGUCAAAGCAGUAAUGCGCUUGAAGAGGAGUUCGCGGCAGAUUAGUUAGUUGGCGGGGUAAUGGCCCACCAAGACGAUGAUCUGUAUCCGGCCUGAGAGGGCGCACGGACACACUGGAACUGAAACACGGUCCAGACUCCUACGGGGGGCAGCAGUGGGGAAUUUUGCGCAAUGGGGGAAACCCUGACGCAGCAACGCCGCGUGGAGGAUGAAAUAUCUUGGUAUGUAAACUCCUUUCGAUGGGGAAGAUAAUGACGGUACCCAUAGAAGAAGCCCCGGCUAACUUCGUGCCAGCAGCCGCGGUAAUACGAGGGGGGCAAGCGUUGUUCGGAAUUAUUGGGCGUAAAGGGUGCGUA